AAGAGGCAUGCGGACUAGGGUGGUUUGUUAACAGUGAGGACAGUGUGUUAUAAUUGGUACGGGGACAUAAAAUGGUAGCUAGAAGUGUGUGUGUGUGUUCAGGAGGAAGGGAGAUGCUAGCAGAGCAGUGCUAUCCCGUUUGUGGACGGACAGGAGGUACAAGGGCCACAGGAUCACACAGGGAGAGUGAGAGCGUUUCAUUUAAUCCACUCAACGAUGGCUAGCUGUGCCGUAUAAACAGCUAUGCGUGGGUACACGGCUCCGCCAUCCUUUACUCUGCACAAACAACGGGACCAGUGAACUAGCCGAGCAACAAAACUGUUUCAGCUCCAGCGACAUACUAAGAGAAGGAAAGAGAGAGGAAGCGAGAGGAGAGAGAAUGCCAUUGGAGCACAGUGGGAGAUUUGGAGGACUAUUAGAGACACCGAGCAGUCAAGCACGGGACUCCUCUCACAUGUGCAGUCUCCCAGCCCUGUCAGCUGAGUACAGUACAGUCUGGCCUUUCCACGGACAAGACCCCUCCCAGCCUCCAGCCCCAAAACGUCCCCCAGUCCCUUAGCCGAGUCCUGGACCCCUCUCCUGGGCAGUCACUCUCCACAAUGAGCCCUUUGUAGAGUAGCACUAGCAUAAACACAAUGUAGGAUUGUCAACAAGCACCACCACAGCCGCCCCACUUACCUCCUAACGAGGAAGUGACCAAGAUUUGACCAAGACACAGAGACCAAAAACA
This is a long non-coding RNA of Salvelinus namaycush (lake trout), 730 nucleotides long. RefSeq lists it as uncharacterized. NCBI's taxonomy places the organism in Eukaryota, Metazoa, Chordata, Actinopteri, Salmoniformes, Salmonidae. The transcript is spliced from 4 exons. The record is from RefSeq and is a predicted model, not a curated record.